This is an unclassified non-coding RNA of Stegodyphus dumicola, 1981 nucleotides long. The record is from RefSeq and is a predicted model, not a curated record. NCBI's taxonomy places the organism in Eukaryota, Metazoa, Arthropoda, Arachnida, Araneae, Eresidae.
UUUUUUCUGUUUAUUUGGCGUCCUUCAAUUUAGUUAUGAUAUCGUGUGCUAAAUUUUGCUAUAAAUUUGAUUGCUUAUAAAUUGAUUGAAAAUUAAAAACUGAUGUUUACAUUAAAUUAGUGUUUCUAAUUAAGUUGAAAAUACUGUAGUGCAACGACUGAAUCAAUUUUGAUCUAUCGUUAAUCAUUCGUUGAUAAUAUUGGUAUAAGAUCUAAGACUUUCAUCUUGUUGAUUGUACAUACACUUUGGAUUAGCAACGCUCAUUCCAGUUGCAUAGAAGCUUGAGACCUCUUAAAUGCAAAGCUAUUUAAGAAUUAUUACUAAAGACAAAACAGGAAUAGGAAUGAUUAGGUGAUAAUUAUUGUGUUUUGAAAUGAAAAAUGUGCCAGAAAGUCAAAUCCUCCAUUGUGGAGAAACAAACUCAAGACAUAUAUGGGAACCACUUACGGUUUUGUACAAUUACCCAUGGACACAUGUCUAAUUGUAAAGAAUAUGUCAUUCACAAAGAAGCAUUUAAUUUCAAGCGUUGGGUUGUGUUCAUGACAAUAUUUAGCAGUCUUGCUUUUUAUUGUAAAUUUUAUAAUACGGAUGUUAGUUUUCUAGGCCUGUUUCUGUGCUUUCUGUGUGUGAUAUUAGUUUUAAAGUUACACCAUAAAGUAAAACAAGAAUCUUUACUGGUAAUUGCAUCUCUAGGACUCCAGUUAACUACUACUUUUGUAACUGGUAGAAAAGCAUCGCAGUUCAUUCUUCAGCAAGAUAUCCAAGAUGUUGUUAUAAAUGAAGGAAUUUUCAUGCACAGAGUAUUGUUUUAUUUAGCUGUUUUACUCAGAGAUGUUAAAGACCCAACUAAUCUUAAAUGUUUAAUUCCUUUGUUUAAGCUCUAUUUAAGUUAGUAUGCACCAGACAAUCCACUAUGCUUCUGAGUAAAGUGAAUAAAAUUCUAAAUGAUAUUUAUCUGUUUUUAACUCUUGUUGAAGAGCUUUGCUCCACAUAAAGAAUACAUCUGGACCUAUUUAAUGUAAAGAACAUGGCUAAAACAAAUGCUGAGAAGCAACGGGAAUAUAGAGAACGCAAGAAAGCUAAUAAACCUCCUAAGCCACCACCAAAAUCAAGCAAAGAACGUGUGCGUCUGUAUAGAGAACGUAAGAAGCUAGCAAAAGUGAAUCAAGAACUUCAGCAAUUACAGCAGCAAAAUUUGCAUAAUGAUCCAACAGCAGGCACUUCGCGUGAUGAAGAUAACUUGAUAUACAUUGAAGCUGAUCAGUACACAUUUCCCAGAUUGGAUUGCUUAGAAAGUAUAUACAAUGGCAUUCAAGCAUCAUUGUUUUUGAAUCAGACAGAAAGCAGUUCCUGAAGAUUUGAUGUUGUAUUAAUUGUUUACUUUUAUUCAACACUAUUAUUAUUAUAUACUUACCUUUUUUUCUUUUGCAUUUUUCUUUGAAAUACCUAUAAUUAUCAUCAUUAUUGCCUGCAUCAUUUAUUCUCAUAUGAUGCAAAGUUUUUAUUAUCUGUUUUUUAAAUGUUAAUGCAUAAUAUGAUGGUAAUGCUGGGUGGAAUUUUCUAAUUCAAACAAGAUUAAAUCAUGAACAUAAUAUGAAGAUUGAUGAUUUAUGUUUUCCCAAUUUUUUACAUUUAACCACUCUAGAUUACUAUUACUAGAUAUUAUUCAUGUAGAAAUUGAAAAAAAAUCUCCCAUUUGUACGUUAUUAAUAUAGUAACAGUAAUUUAACUGUAAAUAACUUGUUAAAACUAAAACAAAUAUUUGUUAUAUUACAGAUUGCUUGACAUGUUUGUUUGUUUAAUAAGAAUUGUGUUAAUUGUUAUUAAUUGAAUUUGUGUUCAUUUAACUGUGUUUAUGUUGAAAUAAAAAUUAUGACAGAGCAGUGGUUUGCCCUUUCCUCUUCUGUUUAUUGUCUUUUAUUUUUUUGAUUGAAGCUUUUCUUUUUUUUACCAUCUUUUAAACCUAAAAUAUAUUUUCAGU